Molecule: ribosomal RNA, 427 nt
Filed under: uncultured bacterium
Lineage: Bacteria
Description: bacterial SSU rRNA
Rfam family: Bacterial small subunit ribosomal RNA
Source: RNAcentral
UGGGGAAUAUUGGUCAAUGGGCGCAAGCCUGAUCCAGCAAUGCCGCGUGUGUGAAGAAGGCCUGCGGGUUGUAAAGCACUUUCAGUGGGGAGGAAGGCCUCGGCGUUAAUAUCGUCGAGGAUUGACGUUACCUACAGAAGAAGCACCGGCUAACUCUGUGCCAGCAGCCGCGGUAAUACAGAGGGUGCAAGCGUUAAUCGGAAUUACUGGGCGUAAAGGGCGCGUAGGUGGUUAAUUAAGUCAGAUGUGAAAUCCCCGGGCUUAACCUGGGAAUUGCAUUUGAAACUGAUUGGCUAGAGUACGGGAGAGGGAAGUGGAAUUUCCGGUGUAGCGGCGAAAUGCGUAGAUAUCGGAAGGAACACCAGUGGCGAAGGCGACUUCCUGGCCCGUUACUGACACUGAGGCGCGAAAGCGUGGGGAGCGAACA